RNAcentral lists this small RNA (542 nucleotides) under Pan troglodytes (chimpanzee). Its description in RNAcentral is "retained intron". The record is from RNAcentral. Lineage: Eukaryota; Metazoa; Chordata; Mammalia; Primates; Hominidae.
UACUGGCUGGUCCUCAUGACCCUCUCUGCAGUAUAUUGGGCUGGGCGCUGUGGCUGACUGUGUGGGUAUCAACGUGACCGUGGGUGGUGAGAGCUGCCAGCACGAGUUCCGGGGGGACAUGGUUGUCUGCCCCCUGCCCCCAUCCCUGCAGCUUGGCCAGGAUGGUGCCCCAUUGCAGGUAGGCAGCCCAGCUGGACCUCCCUGGGAAACACGGGCAGAGGGCCUACAGGCUGGGCCUGAGUUGCCACCUGCCCCCAGGUCUGCGUAGAUGGUGAAUGUCAUAUCCUGGGUAGAGUGGUGCGGCCAGGGCCAGACGGGGUCCCACAGAGCACGCUCCUUGGUAUCCUGCUGCCUUUGCUGCUGCUUGUGGCUGCACUGGCGACUGCACUGGUCUUCAGCUACUGGUGGCGGAGGAAGCAGCUAGUUCUUCCUCCCAACCUGAAUGACCUGGCAUCCCUGGACCAGACUGCUGGAGCCACACCCCUGCCUAUUCUGUACUCGGGCUCUGACUACAGAAGUGGCCUUGGUGAGAUAGUGGAGGC